UAAAACUGCACUCCAACAACACUCUAUUGAGUACUGAAUCUCUAUUUAUAUUCUUCCUAAUUGUCACGUGACCGAUUAUUUCUUUUGUAAUUGUACCAUUACUACGUGACAAUUUAUGAAUAUCGUAACUACCUAUUUCCGCUGGAGUUCUUGUUUUCUUGAUUAUCUCACCCUUUGCUGGAAUUUCAUCUUCUUGAUCAUCUCACGUUUUGCUUGGUGCUAAUGAUUCACGAGGUGCUUGAAAGAAUGUAGAUGUUGCAGUAGGUCGUAUUUUGCUGAUGCUGCGUCUUCGAUCUUUCCAUGGCCUUCGUUACUGAUACCAGUGGAAUGUGCCGGUCGCGUGGCUGCUUGCCCUUGCUGAGGUUGCAUUUGUGUAUCCGGUGAUCGUCUUGCUGAUGUCGGUGAAUCGUACGAGGUGCUUGCCGAGUCUUUGCACGUGUUGUAUGCUCUAUUUCUUAUGUUCCCCAAAGUUAUUGUGAGUUCAAGGACAAGUUUUAAUACGUCAUUCUAUAAGAGGUGGUGCGUGGUGGUAGUUUCUAUUUGGUGAUUUGCUUGCCGAGUUUUAGGUUAUAUUGAAUCAUGGAUACUGACAUGUCUGGAGCUGUAGAGUGUAAGAAAAAGAAAAGAAAUAGAGGGAAGCGCAGGCCGUUCGUACCUCCUUUGAAACGUUCCAGGAAAUCUGGUCGUCGUGGCAAUUAGUGGUUUUUUGGUGACGGGUACUUUCCGCAGAUAAAGAUCCAUACAGCACCCGAGUCCCCUGGACCACUUGGGGUUGGGUAAACGCCCAACCGUCGCGCAAGGCACACAGUGCCUUGCUUCCUGGAUUAGCUAGGCCUGCAGGGGCUGUCGCUCGUCUCAGGUCGAACGGGGCCCUUUCUAAGCCCUUCCGUCUACCGGGACGGUACCGGAGCAGGUGGGACGCUGCUCACACGCCGAAGGCCAUUCGGUGGGAGAGAACACCUUAAUUCGGCCCUCUUGCCAGCAUCUUGGCCAUCAACCACUGCCACCACGAGUCCAUACCCAUUACUUGACCAAGCAGAGGUGUCGCUACUCCCUCUGGGCUGUAACUCGACCCGCCCGUGGUACCAACCUAAGUCGUUGGUGGGACUAUCGUGUGGAUGUACGGCCACGUCACUACCAGCCCGACGUCCUGCUAACCGAGCUCGGCAGUUCCAGAUGGGACUCACGUAAGCGGGGAUCACAGGGCACCCGACAAACCCUGAACUGUUCCCGACGGCCCCAUCCUUGGCAUCAGGAUCGUGGGUGCGCUACUACCCAAGGCCGUGGAGAGAGCGCGGCCACCCCACUCCUCCAGCGACCUUCCCUGCGGUGUACAUAGGGACUCACGUAAGCGGGACGCUUGUCCCGACGGUCCCCCUGGCUGCGGGAACGUGGGUUUGCCAGCCCCCAUAGGCUCGCAAAGCGAGCCCUCCCUGCGGGAGGUCGUCGUGGCAGUGCAAAAGGUCGUAAUCGGGUGCUAAAAAGGUUGGGAGGCUCAACUUCCAUGGAGGGUAGUAAUGGCGUGGUUACAAUCCCAUCGCCGAGUCCUGAUGGUCCUCCGGUUAUUGACUUGACUUUCUCCGACGAAGACACCCUUGAGUUACCGCCAAGUUCUCCUGUGGUCGAAGUGGUAGAUACAAAUGCCUGUGCCAAGGCCCGUUUUCCGGACGAGAUUCCUGGAAUGUUUUAUUUCUUAUAUUUGUCAAUAAAAGUAUAAUAUAU
Bombus terrestris (buff-tailed bumblebee) is the source of this 1722-nucleotide long non-coding RNA. RefSeq lists it as uncharacterized. Lineage: Eukaryota; Metazoa; Arthropoda; Insecta; Hymenoptera; Apidae. The record is from RefSeq and is a predicted model, not a curated record. The transcript has 3 exons.